Molecule: transfer RNA, 65 nt
Filed under: Aporia bieti
Lineage: Eukaryota; Metazoa; Arthropoda; Insecta; Lepidoptera; Pieridae
Description: tRNA-His
Source: RNAcentral
UACUUAAAUAAUUUAGAUUAAAAUAUUGAUUUGUGGAAUCAAAUAUAUGGGUAACCAUUUUAAGU